This 480-nucleotide ribosomal RNA is filed under the name uncultured bacterium. Its description in RNAcentral is "partial 16S ribosomal RNA". It matches the Rfam family "Bacterial small subunit ribosomal RNA", at positions 28 to 523 of the family's 1533-position model. The record is from RNAcentral.
GACGAACGCUGGCGGCGUGCUUAACACAUGCAAGUCGAGCGAGAGAAAUUCCUUCGGGAAGGACUCUAGCGGCGGACGGGUGAGUAACACGUGGGUAACCUGCCUCAUAGGGGGGAAUAGCCUUUCGAAAGGAAGAUUAAUACCGCAUAAGAUUGUAGUAUCGCAUGAUACAGCAAUUAAAGGAGUAAUCCGCUAUGAGAUGGAACCGCGUCGCAUUAGCUAGUUGGUGAGGUAACGGCUCACCAAGGCGACGAUGCGUAGCCGACCUGAGAGGGUGAUCGGCCACAUUGGGACUGAGACACGGCCCAGACUCCUACGGGAGGCAGCAGUGGGGAAUAUUGCACAAUGGGGGAAACCCUGAUGCAGCAACGCCGCGUGAGUGAUGACGGUCUUCGGAUUGUAAAACUCUGUCUUCAGGGACGAUAAUGACGGUACCUGAGGAGGAAGCCACGGCUAACUACGUGCCAGCAGCCGCAGUAA